Molecule: unclassified non-coding RNA, 506 nt
Filed under: Hevea brasiliensis (rubber tree)
Lineage: Eukaryota; Viridiplantae; Streptophyta; Magnoliopsida; Malpighiales; Euphorbiaceae
Source: RNAcentral
UGCAGUAUGAAUACUGAUCCAUUAUAUCAGAGUUGUAGUGUUGCAGAAGUCUCUUGGGAUCAUAAGCAACAUAUCACUUGCCUUCUAGGAUUUCGUAGUAAAGAAACUCCUGGGGGACUGGAAGAAAAUAUAUCAUUUUUUACCGGUGUGCUGAAGGAUGAAUAUUCAAUUAUGGAUUCAGAAGCAAAGAAGGCUAUAAUUUGGUUAGCUAAGCUGUCACCACAGAAGCUGUUAGAGAUGGAAACAACUGGGUUGGUGCAACCUAUUGUACAGACUUCCAUAGGAGUUCCCCAUGGCCAUCAUAAAAUAUUUCAAGCCUUUGGUCUUGUCAAGAGGGUUGCAAAGGGUACAACUAUGUGGUACUAUCCUAGAGGUCUUAUGAACCUGGUCUUUGAUUUGGAUGCCCUAAGAGUAGCUCUGUGUAAACCUCUGGAUUCAUUUAGAUUGUAUUUGUCUCGGGCUACUUUAGUUGUCGUCCCUUCAAAUCUAGUUGAUCAUUGGAGAGG